Lenzites betulinus is the source of this 87-nucleotide non-coding RNA. The record is from the annotation of a GenBank genome assembly. NCBI's taxonomy places the organism in Eukaryota, Fungi, Basidiomycota, Agaricomycetes, Polyporales, Polyporaceae.
GCCGGGAUAGCUCAGCUGGGAGAGCAACAGACUGAAGCAUACAGGGCUGUCUUCUGGAGGUCGCGUGUUCAAUCCACGCUCCUGGCA